GAUGAACGCUGGCGGCGUGCCUAAUACAUGCAAGUCGAGCGAACGGACGAGAAGCUUGCUUUUCUGAUGUUAGCGGCGGACGGGUGAGUAACACGUGGAUAACCUACCUAUAAGACUGGGAUAACUUCGGGAAACCGGAGCUAAUACCGGAUAAUAUUUUGAACCGCAUGGUUCAAAAGUGAAAGACGGUCUUGCUGUCACUUAUAGAUGGAUCCGCGCUGCAUUAGCUAGUUGGUAAGGUAACGGCUUACCAAGGCAACGAUGCAUAGCCGACCUGAGAGGGUGAUCGGCCACACUGGAACUGAGACACGGUCCAGACUCCUACGGGAGGCAGCAGUAGGGAAUCUUCCGCAAUGGGCGAAAGCCUGACGGAGCAACGCCGCGUGAGUGAUGAAGGUCUUCGGAUCGUAAAACUCUGUUAUUAGGGAAGAACAUAUGUGUAAGUAACUGUACACAUCUUGACGGUACCUAAUCAGAAAGCCACGGCUAACUACGU
Molecule: ribosomal RNA, 496 nt
Filed under: uncultured bacterium
Lineage: Bacteria
Description: partial 16S ribosomal RNA
Rfam family: Bacterial small subunit ribosomal RNA
Source: RNAcentral